AUGAAUGCAAGUUGGCUUUCCAAUGCUGACAGGAAUUCUUUGCAGCAAGACGGGAACAGAUGUUUAUUGGGUGCCCCUCAGUGUCGUUCAUGUGCUCAGUGUUUCUUGAUGAAUGAGCUGUCUUCUGUUGGUUUCAGUGUACUUAAGAAGUUGGAGUGGAUUGUUCAAAUUUCUCCAAAGCCGGCAUCUUCGCAUACCCUGGUGAGAACUAUCCUUAUCAUACAUGAGAUAGCCAAGUUUUUGGAAGAACCAGAGUUCAGUAUGCCAAAAGGUUCCAUGAAGUUAAGAAGCUUUUUUGUUCUCUGUGGGCGUUGA
This 315-nucleotide ribosomal RNA is filed under the name Triticum aestivum (bread wheat). RNAcentral describes it as "partial small subunit ribosomal RNA". Lineage: Eukaryota; Viridiplantae; Streptophyta; Magnoliopsida; Poales; Poaceae. The record is from RNAcentral.